AGUCUGAAACUGACGAGGCCUCCCGGGGAAACGUGGCCAGAACAACCAAACCCAUUGAGCAGUUCCCAGAGGGGUGGAGUCAGGAGUCAGAUGACUCGAGGUGCGAUGACCUCACACCAUUGCUGGCCGUGGGAACUCUACGGACUCACCCAGACUCAGUUUCUUUUACCUAUAACUUGAGGGUCUCAGCUCUAACAUGAGUGGAAGAGCAUCAAGGGAAACCGAGGAAUGGUGUAGAGGUUGUAUAUUAAGACCUGGAAUAUUUGGGGUUGAGACAUGGGUGGGUAAGGUCGCCAGAUGGGAAACCUCCCAUGUGUUGCCAUAGCAACGGUGACAUUCAGUUCAUUUGUGAGAAUCCCCAAGAGGGAGCAUGCUCCAAAGGGUGGGAGAAGGCUGGAACCGCUGGCAGCUUCUGACACUGUCCCUCGUACUCCUGGCUUCUCCCUGGUUUCCGUGGCCCACCAUUAGGUGUGGGCAUCUGAGUAGAAGCUGCUUAAAAUAGUCACCUGGAUAUUUCAAGAAGCUGUUGAAUAUGCAUGAAGCUAUUUCAGAAAAGAUGUCCCUGGCCGGGCCAAACCCAACCCCAUGCUUUCCCCUGGAAGGGUGAGAAGCUGAAGGGCCCUUUCUAAGUCUCUUCCAUUGGGCGGGGAUCUCAGAAGCCACAGGAACACCACCCAGGCACAUGUUGGUCUUACAGCUGUCAGCUGCCUCGGAUCCUGUGGUCACAGAGGCUUCCAGCCAGGCAGCCCUGCACCCAGAACCCUAGGAGAUUCUGCCACUCCAGCUCCUAGUUUGCUCUAAUUUAGUCUGCUUAGCUUUGGGGAGCAUGCAGGGCCUCUGUCACUUCUUUUGGCUCAUUUUAUCCAUCAACAUGCUUUUCAUGAUAGAUUAUGUGUGCAAAGUAUAAGGGGGGCUGUGUUACAAAGACACCUCCCACAGAAUCAUGGGGUGAGCAAGUGACUAGAGAUAUAAAGUCCACAGAGGUUCAGGAAAAAGGGGGUCAGCGUUCAGGGGAGCAUGAGGAAGGCUCUGUGUGGCUGGGCUGAGCUGCCCAGGCAGACAGUGAGCUGCAGGCUGUGAGGACGAAAAGGGAGUCACUGAAUGCUAUGUAUUGACACUUCUGUGUCCUCGGAUUUUCCUGGGUUUCCCCUUCUAUGGGCCCCCCAGUACCUGGUGCAUUCUUGACAUUCUUGACCCAGGCUGGGGAUGUCUAACACAGUAGCUGCUCAUACCCUCCUGGGCUUCUCAGGAGCUCAGGGCCAGGCUAGGGACUGCACAGGUAUUUCUCAAGUGUUCAACAGAAAUCUUGGAUUCUGUAUCCAGGACCGGCCCAGGUUCAGAUGUAGACUGCUGGUGAUAGCCUGUGACCUUGUGUACACACUGUGCCUGACAUCUUUUCAUCCUAUUUUCUCUCACCCAUAAUAGGGAUGAUAAUCCAACCUGUCUCAAGAAGUUUUGGGUGAGAAUGUGUAGAAAGCUGCAAGUGUGGUGGUAAGCACCUUUAGGGCCAGCUACUUGGGGGCAGAGACCAAGCAUUUAAAGCCAGACUGGGCAACAUAAUCAAACAUAAUUAGGAAUAAGUAAAUGAAUACAUAGAGGGCUUAGAAGUCUGUGGCAUAUUUUAAGAAAUAUGGAAAAAAUGCCUUCUUGAAAAAAAAACAACACAUUUAUGAGCUUUGAGUUUUGUCUUGAGAACUGAAUGCCAUCAAUGACAAGUUUCUUCCCAAAAUAAAAAUAGCUUUGCUGCUUUGACUGUUGUGUCAAAAGUGUCCACUAUAAAAAGUUCAAGUGAAACAAGGAAGGACAGAGCCCUGGCUCUCAGAUAAUUGCCAUACACUGGUCAUCUGCCAAGGUCUGAAUGUUUGGGUCCCUCCAAGUGCUUAUGCUGCACUAGGGAGAUGACCCGGUGGGGAAGGGCACUUGCCAUCAGGCCUAAUGAACUGUGUUUAAUUCCUAGGAUUCACAUGGCAGAAAAGGGGACUCCUGGAAGUUGUCUUCUGACCAGCACAUGUACACCAAAACAUGUGUUUAUUUGAAUGUGUGCACAAGUGAGCACACACACACACAUGAAAUAAAUAUGUUUAAAAAU
Molecule: long non-coding RNA, 2089 nt
Filed under: Mus musculus (house mouse)
Lineage: Eukaryota; Metazoa; Chordata; Mammalia; Rodentia; Muridae
Description: predicted gene, 38632
Source: RNAcentral